Molecule: ribosomal RNA, 190 nt
Filed under: Clostridioides difficile
Lineage: Bacteria; Bacillati; Bacillota; Clostridia; Peptostreptococcales; Peptostreptococcaceae
Description: partial 16S ribosomal RNA
Rfam family: Bacterial small subunit ribosomal RNA
Source: RNAcentral
UAAACUUUUAUUUGAGAGUAUGAUCCUGGCACAAGAUGAACGCUGGCGGCGAGCCUAACACAUGCAAGUUAAGCGAUUUGCUUCGAUAAAGAGCGGCGGACGGGUGAGUAACGAGUGGGUAGCCUACCCUGUACACACGGAUAGCAUACCGAAAGGUAUGCUAAUACAGGAUAAUAUAUUUGAGAGGCAU